RNAcentral lists this transfer RNA (63 nucleotides) under Brachycladium goliath. RNAcentral's name for it is "tRNA-Gln". The record is from RNAcentral. Lineage: Eukaryota; Metazoa; Platyhelminthes; Trematoda; Plagiorchiida; Brachycladiidae.
UGUAGCUUGGUGUUUAUUGCAUUCUACGGUUUGGUUGUAGAGGGAUGUCGUUGUUAGCUGCAG